This 253-nucleotide ribosomal RNA is filed under the name uncultured bacterium. RNAcentral's name for it is "partial 16S ribosomal RNA". It matches the Rfam family "Bacterial small subunit ribosomal RNA", at positions 524 to 776 of the family's 1533-position model. The record is from RNAcentral.
UACAGAGGGUGCAAGCGUUGUUCGGAAUUACUGGGCGUAAAGCGCGUGUAGGUGGCGAUGUAAGUCGGGUGUGAAAUCCCUUGGCUUAACCAAGGAAGUGCAUUCGAUACUGUGUCGCUUGAGUAUCGGAGGGGUCGGCGGAAUUCCCGGUGUAGAGGUGAAAUUCGUAGAUAUCGGGAGGAACACCAGUGGCGAAGGCGGCUUCCUGGACCUGAUCUGACGCUGAGGAGCGAAAGCGUGGGGAGCGAUCCGG